Molecule: ribosomal RNA, 423 nt
Filed under: uncultured bacterium
Lineage: Bacteria
Description: bacterial SSU rRNA
Rfam family: Bacterial small subunit ribosomal RNA
Source: RNAcentral
AAGACCUUGCACUUUUGGAGCGGCCGAUGUCUGAUUAGCUAGUUGGUGGGGUAAUGGCCUACCAAAGCUUCGAUCAGUAGCUGGUCUGAGAGGACGGCCAGCCACGCUGGGACUGAGACACGGCCCAGACUCCUACGGGAGGCAGCAGUGGGGAAUUUUGGACAAUGGGCGCAAGCCUGAUCCAGCCAUGCCGCGUGAGUGAAGAAGGCCUUCGGGUUGUAAAGCUCUUUCAGCCGGGAAGAAAAGGUUGCGACUAAUAAUCGCAAUCCAUGACGGUACCGAAAGAAGAAGCACCGGCUAACUACGUGCCAGCAGCCGCGGUAAUACGUAGGGUGCGAGCGUUAAUCGGAAUUACUGGGCGUAAAGGGUGCGCAGGCGGUUUUGUAAGUCAGAUGUGAAAUCCCCGGGCUUAACCUGGGAACU